This 76-nucleotide transfer RNA is filed under the name Candidatus Beckwithbacteria bacterium CG_4_9_14_0_2_um_filter_47_11. RNAcentral describes it as "tRNA-Trp". It matches the Rfam family "tRNA". Rfam says of the family: Transfer RNA (tRNA) molecules are approximately 80 nucleotides in length. Their secondary structure includes four short double-helical elements and three loops (D, anti-codon, and T loops). Lineage: Bacteria; Candidatus Beckwithiibacteriota. The record is from RNAcentral.
UGGGAUUUAGCUCAGUUGGCAGAGCGUCCGUCUCCAAAACGGAAGGCCGCAGGUUCGAAGCCUGCAAUCCCAGCCA